Bubalus bubalis (water buffalo) is the source of this 1248-nucleotide long non-coding RNA. RefSeq lists it as uncharacterized. The transcript has 4 exons. The record is from RefSeq and is a predicted model, not a curated record. NCBI's taxonomy places the organism in Eukaryota, Metazoa, Chordata, Mammalia, Artiodactyla, Bovidae.
AUAGGAAAUAAAAUCAGUCUUGUUAGGUAGGUAGAAUAGGAAAAAGGAGUCCAGAAUGGCGGUGGCUAAAAGACAAGGAAGGGAAAAGCCCACAAAAAUAGAACAAAGGAAGGUUCGAGGACCGGAGUGAGGACUUCAGAUUACCUGGAGCACGGAGUGCCUCACUCCACCCUGAACUCCCUCAGGGGUUGUUGAAGGUCAACAGCCAUAGCAGCAUGGGGUUCAAGCUCAAGAGGCAGAUGGCAAACACCUUUGUUGUUCAGUCCUUGGCAAUGCUCUUGGAAAAGGGAAAAUCUGGAGGCAACCUCACACACAGAAUGCCAUACAAAGAUGAAGACAGAAAUUGGGGUGAUGCUUCUACAGGCCAAGGAGUGCCAAAGGCUCCUCUGUCCAUAGGAUUUUCUGGGAUUAGUGGAGUAGGUUGCCAUUUUCUCCUCAGAGGAUCUUCCUGACCCAGGGAUCCAACCUGCGUCUCCUGCAUUGCAAGAGGAUUCUUUACCACUGAGCCAUCAUGGAAGCCCCAAAGGUACAUUACAAACUGUAUUACAAAUUUCUAGAUGGAACUUACCUUUAUUAACUGAAAUCUUAUCAGAACUUCGUAAACCUCGAGAAACUGGGAAAUACUCCAUGUGUCUGUGUAUAUAUUUAGCAAGAAAAACAAAUCUGUAGCUUUAACAUUCUCCGAAGAAUCUCUGACUCUAUCCUCACAAAACAAAUGAACACUGAGCUAAAAGAAAACAUAAUUUUAUAAGAAAACUGGAUAAAACCUGAAAUAAAAUACCCCUGACCUAAUUUUUCCCAUUAUGAAAGCAGAUUCCCCCCCCCAAUAAUAAACGUUUAUUACUUAAAAGAAAACAGUAAUUUAACAUAAAGGUCAUUUUGCUAUGAUAAGAAUAUUAUGGAUAUAUAUUAUAAAAAGAACAACAUAGUAAGUUUCUGAAUUUUUUCUUCCCAUAGGUAAAAUCUUUCCAACCUCACAGUAUAGUAUACUUAAUACUUGACAGUGUCUGGUAGUAUAAAUUUGUGAUUCAUGAUGGUAAAUAUAUCUGAUGUAGCAAGCUCUGCAUGAACUACUGGGACUUGGUAAAAAUUUGUUAUACAUAGUGUAUUAAUACCCUGGCCGUUCAGUACUAUAGCAAUUAAGGAUCCAAAAAAUAUUUUGAAAGAUGAAAAAGUCUUGCUUAAGGACAAAAUAAAUGGCAGUUAAAAUAUUUAUUUCAAAAUAAGUGUUUAAGCUUAUUUUUUAUA